GAAAGGAGACCCGCAGCUAAUGGCUCGGCAGUGAUGCGCCAGGUGUGGGCCUCGCUCGAAUGGGGAGGAGAGUGUGAAAACAGAGAGACACACACACUGGGAAAGGGAGACACCCAGACACAGAGGAUGCAAAUGGAAUUCCGCACACAGAAAAGGGAGCGCUUAAGGCGCGCAGCGAGUUCCACAGGGGCAACAGGACUUGGUAUUUCUACAGAGUCAACGAAUUCUGCCACAAACGGCGUGUUCUAAUGAAAAGGAGCUGGCAAUCCGGCCCCCUGCUCUGGUAGUACGGAAGGAGCCCAGGUUAUUUACUGAGCAGCGGAAGAAGGAAGGAAAUUUCUAAUAGCGCGUGAAGCAAGGUAACCCUUCGAAAGCAAAGAGAGGUGACAGCCACCUUAGUGGAGUCCGCCCCGGUGCAUCUCUCCGCUGCAGCCCCGCCGACUUGCAGUCCUUCUCCUGCUGGGGCGAUCGGCUCAGAUGCGGCCAGUUCUUCGAGGAUUGGAAUUCUCUGAACUUCAAACGCUGUGGGUUUGGCUUCCGCCCGGCUAGGAGGGAUAGAGGGUGGCUGAGAAUCCUAGGGAGCCAAGGGGAGAUAAGUCGCGCCAGUCGUUUUAAAUGGAAUCUAAACCUUUGCUUGGGCCACCGAAUGUGGAUCCCCACGGAAACAGCUUCGCUUCGCAAGAAAAUCCGGCUUGGGAGAGAGGCGGCUGCGGUUGUGGGAGCUGUCUAAGUGACCCGAGGCCCGUGGGGCGUGGUCGGCAGUGGUCCUGAGCGGUCCAGAGCACCUUUGCACAUGGCUGGCUGAAAGGCAAGGGUGAAAGUCCAGGGACCUGCUUUCUCCCGGGGAGAAGGGGUGAAUGCGUCGUCUAGGGAAAGAAAAAGAAAUGAACUUUUCUUUCGUCAAAUGUAAGAACAAAGAGAGCAUCCUUCUAAAUAGUAA
This 940-nucleotide long non-coding RNA is filed under the name Mus musculus (house mouse). Its description in RNAcentral is "even skipped homeotic gene 1, opposite strand". The record is from RNAcentral. Lineage: Eukaryota; Metazoa; Chordata; Mammalia; Rodentia; Muridae.